RNAcentral lists this unclassified non-coding RNA (196 nucleotides) under uncultured fungus. Its description in RNAcentral is "sequence contains ITS1". Lineage: Eukaryota; Fungi. The record is from RNAcentral.
UUGACUUAUUAAAAUAAGACGCUCAGAUAUCAUGUAAAUAACAAGAGUUUAGUGGUCCACCGGCAGGCUACAAGGCAACUGUCCCCUAGAGGAUAGGUACCGGGUAGGCCCUGCCGAGGCAACAAAGGUAAGUUCACAAAGGGUUGGGAGUUUAGAAAACUCUGUAAUGAUCCCUCCGCUGGUUCACCAACGGAGA